RNAcentral lists this ribosomal RNA (433 nucleotides) under uncultured bacterium. Its description in RNAcentral is "partial 16S ribosomal RNA". It matches the Rfam family "Bacterial small subunit ribosomal RNA", at positions 38 to 507 of the family's 1533-position model. The record is from RNAcentral.
AAAGAAAGAGGGAGGAAGGAAGAAAAAAGGAAAGGAGAAAGAGAAAGGAGGGUCUAGGGGAGAAAGGGUGGGUAAAGCGUGGGAACAUGAAAUUAGGUUGGGAAUAAGGCAUAGAAAGGGGUGCUAAGAAGGGAUAAUGUAUGCGGAGGAAAGAUUUAUCGCCUUUGGAUGGGCCCGCGUUGGAUUAGCUAGUUGGUAGGGUAAAAGCCUACCAAGACGAAGAUCCAUAGCUGGUCUGAGAGGAUGAUCAGCCACACGGGGACUGAGACACGGCCCAGACUCCUACGGGAGGCAGCAGUGGGGAAUAUUGGACAAUGGGCGAAAGCCUGAUCCAGCAAUGCCACAUGCUUUCUUCCCACCUUAGUGUUGUAAAGCUCUUUUACCCGGGAUGAUAAUGACAGUACCGGGAGAAUAAGCUCCAGCUCCCUCCGUC